GGCUAGUUUACAUUGUUUGUUGUAUUAUGAAAUAUGAUACCAUACUUGUAUUAAAAUUCGCGUCGAACUAAUGUUAUUACACUGGCCUGUAAGGCCAAGUGUCUUAAAUCCCCUUUUUUCUGUUUUUUUCGUAGUCGAGAAAUCGAGUUUGCGUUAGCUCAUCGCAGGCUCAGGGUGCAACGAUUAAGCCAAAAUGCCAUCGAUUCCCUCGGUUCCAUGAUUUAGAUAGUAUAGUAAUAAGCUCGUAUAUAUGUACGUAAUAGCCGACUCAUGCCAUGCUUGUGGUACAUUUUUCGUUUAUUAGCCUAUACACUUGUACGCACG
Molecule: non-coding RNA, 324 nt
Organism: Paramuricea clavata
Lineage: Eukaryota; Metazoa; Cnidaria; Anthozoa; Malacalcyonacea; Plexauridae
Source: the annotation of a GenBank genome assembly